This 190-nucleotide ribosomal RNA is filed under the name uncultured Pseudomonas sp. RNAcentral's name for it is "partial 16S ribosomal RNA". It matches the Rfam family "Bacterial small subunit ribosomal RNA", at positions 388 to 569 of the family's 1533-position model. Lineage: Bacteria; Pseudomonadati; Pseudomonadota; Gammaproteobacteria; Pseudomonadales; Pseudomonadaceae. The record is from RNAcentral.
CCAGCCAUGCCGCUGUGUGUGAAGAAGGUCUUCGGAUUGUAAAGCACUUUAAGUUGGGAGGAAGGGUUGUAGAUUAAUACUCUGCAAUUUUGACGUUACCGACAGAAUAAGCACCGGCUAACUCUGUGCCUGCAGCCGCGGUAAUACAGAGGGUGCAAGCGUUAAUCGGAAUUACUGGGCGUAAAGCGCG